UUCUGUGCAAAAGAAGCAAGGAUACGAGUUGUGGCAGCUGAAGGGCUUGAAUGAGCUUGGUGGCAGUUUAAAAGUAGAAAAUCUUGAGAAUGUUUCAUAAAAG
Molecule: long non-coding RNA, 103 nt
Organism: Sorghum bicolor (sorghum)
Lineage: Eukaryota; Viridiplantae; Streptophyta; Magnoliopsida; Poales; Poaceae
Exons: 3
Source: RefSeq, a predicted model, not a curated record